CUGGCCAGGACACAGGGCUGUGGGUGGCGGGGCCUGCCUCAGCCUCAGCCCUGCACACCGUGCUCAACCCUCAUUCACCCCGAGAACCAGUGAGCUGGGGAGCUGCAGCAUGAUUGAUGGGCCCCAGCUUGAAUGGAAAGUCCAGAUCCCAGGGAGACAGCUUAAGAGACACAGAGCACAGUGGGAAGUGAAACCACCCACGGGAAUCCAGCAACAGAAACGUCCCCACACCGGGCAGCCAGCGAUGGCAGAUGGAGUCAGGCCAGACAGAGACUGGAUGGUCACCGAAAGUCAUGGGCACGGGGAAGUCCGGCGCUGGAGGGAGGACAGUAAAGCAACCUCUUCCUAAAGAUGCAGACCCGGGAGAAGUCUGUGGCACAGAUAGGAGGGGUGAUUUGCCCAAGGUCACACAACUAAAAAGCGGCUGAACAUCUUUGUCUUCUUAACCAACUUCCUAUAUCCACUGAAGAGCGUGAGACCUCCAUGACACAUUUCCAUAGUUGGGUGCUUCAUUCCUGUACAUCAUCUUAUGAUAUCAUCAGCAAUGACAACUCUAUGAGACAGGACCCGCAGACUGGCCUGGACAUGCUCCUCUCAUGGCAACGAAAGCACAAGUGGAAAUCCUGGAGGUUUAAUGGGACAAGUGAAUUACAUGGCCAAGCCCGAAGGCAAAAGGCUGGGAAAAAGGACCUGCAAAGUUACUGGGCAAAGACUGCUGAGACAGUAAAAGGAUGCAGAAUCGGGGCCAAAAACACAAUCUACCAUAUUCUCUCCCUUCCCCAAAUCUCCCCCCACAGACCUUUGACAUGGCUUACAAUCCCGCUCUUAAGACUAUGUCUUUGCAUUCAGAUAGUGUCUGCAUAAGGUCCUUGGGAAGGGGAGGACAUUAUGCCCAGCUCCUUAACUCUCCAGCAGCAUUGGCGGUUCGCAGACAAAAGGGGUUCCUAGAGGAUGGGGCCCAGGACCGAGGCAUCUUGCAGUGGAAGGUGGACCACAACAAUCGGGGUGAGCUGGUGUCACCGGCCCUUCAUCCCUACCUGCCCUUAUUUUGCCUAUGUUGGGAGACAGCUACAGAAAUUCUUCAUCUGCCCCAGGAAACGUUCCAUUAUUUGAGCGGCUAGAAAAUUCUUAGGUUGGAAACAUGCAGAACACAGCAGUAAACUCUGUAGGAAACACAUCCUCGGCUUCUCAGUGAUGUCAGAAUGUUUGUCUCUUU
Molecule: long non-coding RNA, 1216 nt
Organism: Mustela lutreola (European mink)
Lineage: Eukaryota; Metazoa; Chordata; Mammalia; Carnivora; Mustelidae
Exons: 4
Source: RefSeq, a predicted model, not a curated record